CCAGCGGUUAGACAAAAAGAUUAAUUUGAGAAUUUUAGGUUGUAGUUAAGCUUUAUAAAAGUGGUCGUUUUGUUUUAUUUUAGAUUAGAAGUGAAAUUUAUAAUUUUUUGGUAAGAUAAUUGCUUCCACUUGGUUGAUGAGACUACUAACAUAAGGGUUAAGACUAGGAUUAGAUACCCUAUUAUUCCUUGUUUAGAAGUUUGUGCCUGAGUAGUAAACAGAUAUAAUCUUGAAACUUAAAGAAUUUGGCGGUAUUCAAGUCUGGUUAGAGGAACCUGCUAAUGAAACGAUAUGCCACGAAUAAUCUUACUUUUAUUAGUAUUCAGUAUGUAUACCGCCAUUAUUAGGUAAUAUCCUUAGAUAGUUACUAAAAUAGUUUUCCUGAGAUAUUAGGUCAAGGUGCAGCCUAUAUAAAAGUUUUUUGUGGGUUACAAUGUAUUAUAUACCUCGGAUUAGAAUUUUAAAUAGUUCUUUAAAGUUGGAUUUAAUUGUAUUCUUAUUUUAAUAAGUUAAGUUGAUAUUAGCUCUAGAAUAUGUACACAUCGCCCGUCGCUCUCACUACUUAAAGUGAGAUAAGUC
RNAcentral lists this ribosomal RNA (579 nucleotides) under Manipontonia psamathe. Its description in RNAcentral is "partial 12S ribosomal RNA". The record is from RNAcentral. Lineage: Eukaryota; Metazoa; Arthropoda; Malacostraca; Decapoda; Palaemonidae.